CUCCUUGUCAAUUUGGGCGUAAUUCCUCUCUGUAGUAGAUAAAGUCCGUGAAUAAAACGCAAUAGGAGCCUCAACCCCAUUUCUCAAAGUGUGGCUCAAUACAGCCCCUAUGCCAUAUGGAGAAGCAUCGCAGGUGAGGUUGAGCGGUUUCUCCAAAUCAUAGUGUACAAGUAAACUGUCAGAAGACAACAGGUUUUUAGCAGCGCUGAAAGCGGUAGUAUGAACGUCAG
Non-coding RNA from Pelobates cultripes (western spadefoot toad), 230 nucleotides. The record is from the annotation of a GenBank genome assembly. Lineage: Eukaryota; Metazoa; Chordata; Amphibia; Anura; Pelobatidae.